RNAcentral lists this long non-coding RNA (1558 nucleotides) under Rattus norvegicus (Norway rat). RNAcentral's name for it is "long non-coding RNA NONRATT029989". The record is from RNAcentral. Lineage: Eukaryota; Metazoa; Chordata; Mammalia; Rodentia; Muridae.
UGUUUGCUACACCUCUAACAGGAGAAAAGGCCUCGCAUGCAAUUCAACAUUGCCUCGAGGCGUGGAGUGCUUGGGGUAAACCCAAACUCCUUAAGACAGACAAUGGACCAGCUUAUACUUCUCAAAAAUUUCAACAAUUCUGCCACCAGAUGGAUGUGACUCAUCUGACUGGUCUCCCGUAUAAUCCUCAGGGACAGGGCAUUGUAGAACGUGCCCAUCGCACUCUCAAAUCCUAUUUAAUUAAACAAAAAGGGGGAGUCGAGGAGGCUCUACCCUCAGUACCAAGAGAAGCUGUUUCCAUGGCACUCUUCACCCUUAAUUUUUUAAAUCUUGACGCCCAAGGCCAUACUGCGGCCGAACGCCACUAUUCAGAGCCUGAUAGACCAAAAGAGAUGGCAAAAUGGAAAGAUGUUCUGACUGGUCUAUGGAAAGGCCCGGAUCCUAUUUUAAUAAGAUCCAGGGGAGCGGUUUGUGUUUUCCCACAGGAAGAAGACAACCCAUUCUGGCUACCGGAACGACUGACACGGAGAAUUCUGACGCCUAAAAAUGACUCCUGGAUGGAUCCCUCGGAAACUACCUCUAGCCCUCACACUGCCUCUUUGGAUUUGGAUUCCUAGUACUUCAAAGAAUGAGUGGGGGUGGCUCUGUUUGGUGCAGCCCUAUGCUGUGGAUUAGUGUUCAUGCUAUGGUUGGUUUGCAAACUCAGAUCUCAACAGAAACGUGACAAGGCCGUUAUCACUCAAGCACUUGUGGCCAUUGAACAAGGGGCCUCCCCUAAAAUUUGGUUAUCUAUCUUCAAAAAUUAGUCGGUAUCUGAGUUCUCUGCUCUUGCACCCCAUGGAUCUGUGGAUCCAUUGCACUGGGAUGCGAGAGACUUAAUGAUUCUUUGAUCAGCCCUUCUACAUCGCUGAGGUUUCCUCAUUGCACGCGAUAGGGUGAUCAUGAUUUCCCCACUAACUCAUUUUCUGGCUGGCCUCUUUUUAGAGUUCGCCCUAGGUCAUUUAACAGUUACUGUCACACAGCACUGCGGUAUCCAGAGACGGGCAACUUUCCUCAUGCACAGACCAAUCUAAGACACGGGGCCCAGUGGCGAUAGGGUUACCCUUCGACGGAUAAGGCUGUGACAUAGAGGAACGACCUAAGACAGGAGCCACAGCAGAUGGACGUAACUGCAGGGACCUAGACCAGCCUAGACAAUAAUUUAUUGUUAUUAAUAAAAUAAUAAGGGGGAGAUGUAGAGGGCCGCAAUAACAUUCGCCACCACAAGAUGGCGCUGGCUUCCACUGCGCCCCACGUGGAAGGCCGAGAUAGCUUUGCCAUUACAAGAUGGCGCUGGCCUCCGCCGCGCCAGCUGACUUCCUUUCAGGAAGUUAACUGUGUGCGCAUGUGCAAGAGUGCCUUUGUGCCAGGUCUUUGCGCACUCCGGGGCGUGCCUAAUGAGAUCAUGGGUAAGCGACCAAUCAGGUGUGGAUGCGCCGCGCUAGGGUGUAUAUAAGCCGCGCCAUGCCGGUGCUCCUGGCCUCUCUUUAAGAUUCAAUAAACGUUUUAGCUGCAGUAA